GCCUCAGUAGCUCAGCUCGGUAGAGCAUCUGAUUUGUAAUCAGACGGNCGGGGGUUCAAAUCCCUCCUGGGGCUCCA
This 77-nucleotide transfer RNA is filed under the name Methanobacteriota archaeon. Its description in RNAcentral is "Euryarchaeota archaeon tRNA-Thr". It matches the Rfam family "tRNA". Rfam says of the family: Transfer RNA (tRNA) molecules are approximately 80 nucleotides in length. Their secondary structure includes four short double-helical elements and three loops (D, anti-codon, and T loops). Lineage: Archaea; Methanobacteriati; Methanobacteriota. The record is from RNAcentral.